UACGGAAGGCAGCAGUGGGGAAUAUUGCACAAUGGGCGAAAGCCUGAUGCAGCUAUGCCGCGUGUAUGAAGAAGGCCUUAGGGUUGUAAAGUACUUUCAUCGGGGAGGAAAAACAAAACUAAUAAUUUUAUUUCUUGACGUUACCCGAAAAAGAAGCACCGGCUAACUCCGUGCCAGCAGCCGCGGUAAUACGGAGGGUGCUAGCGUUAAUCAGAAUUACUGGGCGUAAAGAGCACGUAGGUGGUUUUUUAAGUCAGAUGUGAAAUCCCUGGGCUUAACCUAGGAACUGCAUUUUGAAACUGAAAUACUAGAGUAUCGUAGAGGGAGGUAGAAUUCUAGGUGUAGCGGUGAAAUGCGUAGAUAUCUGGAGGAAUACCUGUGGCGAAAGCGGCCUCCUAAACGAAUACUGACACUGAGGUGCGAAAGCGGUGGGGAGCAAACAGGAUUAGAUACC
RNAcentral lists this ribosomal RNA (454 nucleotides) under uncultured bacterium. RNAcentral's name for it is "bacterial SSU rRNA". It matches the Rfam family "Bacterial small subunit ribosomal RNA", at positions 340 to 786 of the family's 1533-position model. The record is from RNAcentral.